GGAGGCUACUGAUUCUGGCUCUGUGACACUUGGUGGUGACGUGUGAGCUGAUUCACCUGGACACUCAGCAAAAUAUGGACUCUACACCAUGAGGCAGGCACACGUUAAUACUUAUAAGAGCACAUAAGCCUGGCUGAUCACCUGAUAACUCCUGUCAUCUGGUUGUGACAGCAUGAGGAUGUCCUCACACACCUGUAACCUAUCAGCUCAUCUGGCAGAAUAGAGAGAGAAGAGACAGCACCACAUCUCCUGUUCCUGGAAAGCCUUCUGCCAUCCUUCGAUGACUGAGAGCCUCCAUCAGCUCUGUCUCCUGUCUGCCCACAAUUAUUAUAAUAAAUAUUGUGUUUGACAAGUUUUUUGUGCUGCCAAAUAUCUCGUUUUGAUUCCAGUUUUGAUAUUUUAAUGGAUAUUUAUAAAUUACAUUAAUUAAAUUAUCACAUUGUCGCAUGUUUAACUAGCUCUAUUGUGAUGAAUUAAACUAGCACCUCACUGUUAAAAGCUUGUUUUAAUUUCAAGCAUGUUUAAGUAUUUAUGGACAUGAACAAAAAUAGGAAAUAUGUCAAUUGAGAUUUAUUUAAUUAAUAUAAGAAAUAAGGGGGAAAGAGUCAUUGAAAGGCACAUUCUUCUGGAAGCUCCUGAUCCUGACGACACCAGCAGAGAUCACCUGCAGACACCAGAGGACCUAGAACCGAGAGCAGCGGUUAUUAGUAAAUAAAGAAAUCAGGGCAGUUUUAGUGGGCUGAACACAU
Long non-coding RNA from Nothobranchius furzeri (turquoise killifish), 749 nucleotides. RefSeq lists it as uncharacterized. NCBI's taxonomy places the organism in Eukaryota, Metazoa, Chordata, Actinopteri, Cyprinodontiformes, Nothobranchiidae. The record is from RefSeq and is a predicted model, not a curated record.